This 1161-nucleotide ribosomal RNA is filed under the name metagenome. Its description in RNAcentral is "bacterial SSU rRNA". It matches the Rfam family "Eukaryotic small subunit ribosomal RNA", at positions 181 to 1320 of the family's 1831-position model. The record is from RNAcentral.
GACCGUUUCACUACCGAAGGGCUGUAUUUAUUGGAUACCAAAACCAUCCUUCCCUCGGGAAGUUUUGUUUGAUGAUUCACAAUAACUGAUCGGAUCGCCACUGUGGUGGCGACAGGUCAUUCAACAUUCUGCCCUAUCAGCUUUCGAUGGUUGUGUAGUGGACAACCAUGGCCAUAACGGGUAACGGAGAAUCAGGGUUCGAUUCCGGAGAAGGAGCUUGAGAAUUGGCUACUACAUCUAAGGAAGGCAGCAGGCGCGCAAAUUACCCAAUCCCGAUUCGGGGAGGUAGUGACAAAAAAUAACAAUACCGGGCCUUUUUGGGCUUGGUAAUUGGAAUGAGGGAGAGUUAAACGGACCAUCGAGUAUCCAUUGGAGGGCAAGUCUGGUCCAGCAGCUGCGGUAAUACCAGCUCCAAUAGCGUAUAUUAAAGUUGUUGCAGUUAAAAAGCUCGUAGUUGGACUUGUGUGCGCUGUCCGCGGGUGGCCUGCGCCCAAAAGGGCGUUUCGGUUCGGCCCCGGUGGCGCCUUGAAAUCUGCAGCUGGGGGGACGUUGGCCUUAACUGGUCGGCGACCGCACGCCGGCUGCUCGGUUACUGUGAGAAAAUUAGAGUGUUCAAGGCAGGCAUUGGGUGCAAUUGAAUACAUUAGCAUGGAAUAAUAAAAUAUGGCUCCUGCCGUAUUUUGUUGGUUUUGACUGGUGGGAGUAAUGAUUGAUAGGGACGGUUGGGGGUGCUAGUAUUGAGCGGCCAGAGGUGAAAUUCAUGGAUUCGCUCAAGACUAACUUAUGCGAAAGCAUUCACCAAGGACGUCCUCUUUAAUCAAGAACGAAAGUUGGGGGAUCGAAGACGAUCAGAUACCGUCGUAGUCUCAACCAUAAACUAUGUCGACUUGGGGUCGGCGGUAGUUUUUUCAUUAAGACACUGUCGGGACCACGGGAGAAAUCAAAGUGUCUGGACUCUGGGGGAAGUAUGGUCGCAAGGCUGAAACUUGAAGGAAUUGACGGAAGGGCACCACCAGGAGUGGAGCCUCCGGCUUAAUUUGACCCAACACGGGGAAACUUACCAGGUCAGAGAUGUAGAGGAUUGACAGAUUGAAGCUCUUUCUUGAUCACCUCGGUGGUGGUGCAUGGCCGUUCUUAGUUGGUGGAGUGAUUUGUCUGUUA